This 449-nucleotide long non-coding RNA is filed under the name Mytilus galloprovincialis (Mediterranean mussel). The record is from RNAcentral. Lineage: Eukaryota; Metazoa; Mollusca; Bivalvia; Mytilida; Mytilidae.
AAAUACGAUCAUUAAAAAACUGAAGCGAUGAUGGGUAUACCGUGUGUGUGGCUGUUCUAUUUUACCCACUGUUCAAUAAAUGUAAAACAAAUCUAAUAAACCUGCAUGAAUGAUUUCUAAACUAACCGCUAGAAAAAAAAAAUGUGAUUACUUUUUUUACUUCUCAGUAAACCCAACAUUUGCAAUUUUAAAUUUACAUUUUUUAUCGUAAGCUACUGUUAAAUUCACUGUUGACAUGUUGUAACCAAGGAGCCGCCAUGUUGACUUGCUGAAAUUAGUAAAUGUGCGAAUAAUGCAAUAGAACAGAAAACAAGCAACACCUAUCUCAAUACUUUAUUCUAAUGCAAUUCACGGUAUCCGAGUUUAGAAGGUAAACGCAAUAGAAAAACCUUCAGCUUUGACGUUUUCAUUCGUAUGACGUCAUGUUUUGAAAUGACGUUAAUGCGCCA